RNAcentral lists this non-coding RNA (126 nucleotides) under Procavia capensis (Cape rock hyrax). Lineage: Eukaryota; Metazoa; Chordata; Mammalia; Hyracoidea; Procaviidae. The record is from RNAcentral.
GUGCUGUAUGAAAAGACAGAAGGUUAGCACUCCCAUUGGCAAGGAUGGAAGAGGUGCUUGGGCCUUAUAACAUGCAUAUGGUUAAGGCACUGGAACCUACUUUGUUGCAUUGGACUAUAGUAUUGG